AUAUUCUGGUUUCUCUUCAGAUUGUAUAAAUCUUUCGCCUUUUACUAAGGAUUUCUGUGGAGAGGAACAAUUCUGAGAUUUUUUGGAAAAUAUUUAUUUAUUUAAAUUAGUUUCAAGUA
This is a non-coding RNA of Pteropus alecto (black flying fox), 119 nucleotides long. The record is from Rfam. Lineage: Eukaryota; Metazoa; Chordata; Mammalia; Chiroptera; Pteropodidae.